AUCAACGCUGGCGGCGUGCCUCAGACAUGCAAGUCGAACGCGAAAGGCUCCUUCGGGGGCCGAGUAGAGUGGCGCACGGGUGAGUAACACGUAGGUAAUUUGCCUUUGGGUGGGGAAUAACUCAGGGAAACUUGAGCUAAUACCGCAUAAUGCAGCGGCUCGACAUCGAGACAGUUGUUAAAGCGGGGGAUCGCAAGACCUCGCGCCUGAAGAGAAGCCUGCGGCAGAUUAGCUAGUUGGUAGGGUAAUGGCCUACCAAGGCGACGAUCUGUAACCGGCCUGAGAGGGCGGUCGGUCACACUGACACUGACAUACGGGUCAGACUCCUACGGGAGGCAGCAGUCGGGAAUUUUGGGCAAUGGGCGC
RNAcentral lists this ribosomal RNA (366 nucleotides) under uncultured bacterium. Its description in RNAcentral is "bacterial SSU rRNA". It matches the Rfam family "Bacterial small subunit ribosomal RNA", at positions 32 to 378 of the family's 1533-position model. The record is from RNAcentral.